CUUGACUGUAGCCUGGAAUUGGGUUCGGGCUUUUCUUGCGCAGACUAGGUGGGAGGCUAUGAAGAUUUCCUUCCGGGGAAGUUGGAGCCAACAGUGAGAGACCACUCUGGAAAGGCUAGAAUCCUAAUGGUGAUCCUUGAAUCAGGACACUUGACAGUUUCAGGUGGGCAGUUUUUCUGGGGCGGAAGCCUCAUAAAGGGUAACUGAGGCGCGCAAAGGUCCCCUCAGUCUGGACGGAAAUCAGACAUUGAGUGUAAAGGCAAAAGGGAGCUUGACUGCAAGACCCACAAGUCGAGCAGGAGCGAAAGCUGGCCUUAGUGAUCCGACGGUGCCGUGUGGAAGGGCCGUCGCUCAACGAAUAAAAGUUA
This 368-nucleotide ribosomal RNA is filed under the name uncultured organism. Its description in RNAcentral is "bacterial LSU rRNA". It matches the Rfam family "Bacterial large subunit ribosomal RNA", at positions 2099 to 2465 of the family's 2925-position model. The record is from RNAcentral.